CUCACGUCAUUAACAAAAAAUGACGUUCUAGAAGAAUCUGCAAUGGCUGCAGAGUACUUCGUAGCCCAGCUAUGCUAUAAACUGACGAAGGUCCUGCACAUUCGAGUUUUUCCAGUUUCUUCCCAUGACAAACGACGCUAUCUGUGGUCUUAUGGCUAAUUUUGCCCCCGCCCCGCACCCCGUGAUCGUCGCUUCCUUAGAAAACGUCCCGGGAAUAGAACCGCUGGGUACAUCAAACAUCGAGGCUCCUGGAAAAUAAGCAGUCACGUGACUCCGGAGUUGUGACUUGGGGGAGGGCGGGAGAACCACCCAGAGGAGUCAGCAGUCCGAGGAGGGGUCCGCGCCCUCGCCGUCAGGGGUGCCCCCGGGGAGGGGCUUAUGCGGGCGUGGCAGCGUGACCUGGUCUGACCCCUCCCCCAGCAGAGCAGGGGGCGGGGGGCAGCGCCGCGGAGGCCGGCUUACAGCUCCGGCAGGCCGCGGGAGCACCUCCGAGGCCCAGGCUUCGGGUCUGUCAUCGCGUAAUCCACACCGCAGAGGAGCUGCGGACGUGUAAUUCAUUCCUCCCGGAUCCGGCGGACUUCGUGCCCGUCCUGACGGCUUUCGCCCAACUUGGGAUCUCGCCGCUGCCAGCAGCUGGGAGCGAAGAUCACGGACAUUGCCAUAACCUGUCGUGACCACACGAUGGCGGUGCUGCGCCGGAAGGGCGAGAGGCAUAAGAAAACCUAAAUCAGAAAAAGCGAUCUAAAAAGACUUGAGAGUAGGACCUGAAAAUUUGAUCGUAGAGGGAGAAGAGAGGUGGAAAGGGAAGUGCCGAUUACACCUGCACUUCACAAACAUGGUUUCAUUUCAAGUCCCUAAAGACUUAGGAGAGCCUCGAUUUCCCUCGAAGAAAUAAACUGGAAGGCAAAUGUCUGAGUAAAUGACAUCCAGUGCCCCACUAAGACUCAUGUGUGUUCCAAAGGCCGCUAAAACUUCCGGGAAACGACGGUUGAGAGGAAGACACUAAAGACCAAGGAAGCUAAGUCAUCGGUCUAAGGCUAACAGUGGGAAAAGGGCCCAGGCCAGGUCUCUUGGCUCCUAGUCCGCUUCCUUCUGUGUCCCACUGCGCUGCCUCCCAGAGCACCCCGCACCUGGGCAACCCUCGUAGAUGCUCUGUUGUCGGAAGUGGACGGUGAGCUAUUGAGGGCAGGGGCCGUGUCUCAUAUUCCUCCCGACCCAAUCCCAGGUAACAAACGUCUACAGAGCCCUGCUGGCUGGCAGUCAGCCAGCGAAGGACUCACGAACACAUUUCCUGCUCACGGCUCUGUCUGUGGUCACCUAGGCACGUGGCGGGUACCUAGCGGAUGCCGAGAUCUGCCAGAGGGUAGAGACGCCUGCGUUUAUGAAAAUGCCAUGUUCAAACAACGAGAAGUUAAGUGACGAUACAAGUCUUCCCCCAGUUCCUGAAUUAUAUGAAUUGUGUGAAAAAAUAAAUGAAUCCAAGGAAGAGAAAGCAGCCAUUUACCACUAACAUUUAGCAAAGGUGAAUGACAAAAAUCUGGAACUGUUUUUAGGGGAUGAUCCUCAGCAGUUGUAAUGACAAUAUUUUAUUGAGUUUUGUUACUGUUUCUCUUGGUUUUCAACGUGUCUCAGAAAACACUCCUUUGUGGAUGGAGUCCAACUCCUUUAUAAAGCUGAGCGCGAGUGACUGAACACACUUAGUCUCUAUAUUCUGACAUGGUUGCCUCUCUCUCCCCGCUAUGUACCAAUUUACACACACACACCCACUUGCACAUGUGUAUUUAUUUGGAGGUGGGGGAACAUGACUUGUUAUAUAUCCUAUUUGUAGCUCUGAAUCAUAGACAUGUUAUAAUUCUAUGACACUGCCAUGUUAUUUAUAGCUACGAUAUGGCAAAAGGAAUAACCAAAACAUGUAAAAAGCCAACGGGAAAAUGUUUUUAAAAAUUUAAGAUUAAACAUUAAAUAAAUCCACAGGCACAUGGGCCACCAGUGCCGCUUAGCUCAGCCCUGCCGGUGUCCACGUGACACCCAGGCUCUGCUGGAGCAGGGACAAGGAGGGACUGGCCGGAGGGGACACCAGGGUGGGGAACAACCCCCCGCCGCUGGCCCGGGUCGCUCCUCAGUGCACCUGCCCCCAGGGAACGCAGGAAGUAUAUAAAGCUCCACUCGAAGAAAAUGUCCUUAGAAAUCAUUUCUGGAUGAGGCCCUUCCUGCUUGAGACCCCACACCCGUGCGACAAGUCCUCCUCAAGUCUCCUGCCACGAGAGGCCAGCAGAACAGACCUUCCUCAAUUUGCAUUUUGUGUGACUUUUUACAGAAAAGGCUCUUUUUUUGGGGG
Pteropus alecto (black flying fox) is the source of this 2338-nucleotide long non-coding RNA. RefSeq lists it as uncharacterized. The transcript is spliced from 5 exons. Lineage: Eukaryota; Metazoa; Chordata; Mammalia; Chiroptera; Pteropodidae. The record is from RefSeq and is a predicted model, not a curated record.